GACGAACGCUGGCGGCGCGCCUAACACAUGCAAGUCGAACGAGCGAGAGAGAGCUUGCUUUCUUGAGCGAGUGGCGAACGGGUGAGUAACGCGUGAGGAACCUGCCUCAAAGAGGGGGACAACAGUUGGAAACGACUGCUAAUACCGCAUAAGCCCACGGUGCCGCAUGGCACAGAGGGAAAAGGAGCAAUCCGCUUUGAGAUGGCCUCGCGUCCGAUUAGCUAGUUGGUGAGGUAACGGCCCACCAAGGCGACGAUCGGUAGCCGGACUGAGAGGUUGAACGGCCACAUUGGGACUGAGACACGGCCCAGACUCCUACGGGAGGCAGCAGUGGGGAAUAUUGCACAAUUGGGGAAACCCUGAUGCAGCGACGCCGCGUGGAGGAAGAAGGUCUUCGGAUUGUAAACUCCUGUUGUUGGGGAAGAUAAUGACGGUACCCAACAAGGAAGUGACGGCUAACUACGUG
RNAcentral lists this ribosomal RNA (466 nucleotides) under uncultured bacterium. RNAcentral's name for it is "partial 16S ribosomal RNA". It matches the Rfam family "Bacterial small subunit ribosomal RNA", at positions 28 to 507 of the family's 1533-position model. The record is from RNAcentral.